GACGAACGCUGGCGGCGUGCUUAACACAUGCAAGUCGAACGGAAAGGCCCUGCUUUUGUGGGGUGCUCGAGUGGCGAACGGGUGAGUAACACGUGAGUAACCUGCCCUUGACUUUGGGAUAACUUCAGGAAACUGGGGCUAAUACCGGAUAGGAGCUCCCGCUGCAUGGUGGGGGUUGGAAAGUUUCGGCGGUUGGGGAUGGACUCGCGGCUUAUCAGCUUGUUGGUGGGGUAGUGGCUUACCAAGGCUUUGACGGGUAGCCGGCCUGAGAGGGUGACCGGCCACAUUGGGACUGAGAUACGGCCCAGACUCCUACGGGAGGCAGCAGUGGGGAAUAUUGCACAAUGGGCGGAAGCCUGAUGCAGCAACGCCGCGUGCGGGAUGACGGCCUUCGGGUUGUAAACCGCUUUCGCCUGUGACGAAGCGUGAGUGACGGUAAUGGGUAAAGAAGCACCGGCUAACUACGUGC
This 469-nucleotide ribosomal RNA is filed under the name uncultured bacterium. RNAcentral describes it as "partial 16S ribosomal RNA". It matches the Rfam family "Bacterial small subunit ribosomal RNA", at positions 28 to 508 of the family's 1533-position model. The record is from RNAcentral.